Molecule: ribosomal RNA, 498 nt
Filed under: uncultured bacterium
Lineage: Bacteria
Description: bacterial SSU rRNA
Rfam family: Bacterial small subunit ribosomal RNA
Source: RNAcentral
AGAGUUUGAUCAUGGCUCAGGACGAACGCUAGCGGCGUGCCUAAUGUAUGCAAGUCGAGCGGGGUAAGAGACUUGUCUCUUAUUCAGCGGCAAACGGUUGAGUAACACGUAGGCAACCUGCCCCAGAGACGGGGAUAGCCCGCCGAAAGGCGGAUUAAUACCGGAUGCGGCCGGAGGGGACAUCCCCUUUGUGCUAAAGGGAGCAAUCCGCUCUGGGAUGGGCCUGCGGCCUAUCAGCUAGUUGGUGAGGUAACGGCUCACCAAGGCGACGACGGGUAGCUGGUCUGAGAGGAUGGUCAGCCAGACAGGGACUGAGACACGGCCCUGACUCCUUUGGGGGGCAGCAAUGAGGGAUAUUGCACAAUGGGCGAAAGCCUGAUGCAGCGACGCCGCGUGGGUGACGAAGUCCUUCGGGAUGUAAAGCCCUUUUCUGGGGGAAGAGAACGGACGGUACCCCAGGAAUAAGCCCCGGCUAACUACGUGCCAGCAGCCGCGGUA